AUGGGGAUCUUCGCCUGCGUGACUGCGUCAAGCGCAUGGCCGCCGCCGGAGCUGAGCUUCCUAACACUAGUGAACGCCGUGCUUCCUCGAUUCUUGCUGCUGAUGCCGCUGCGUGGCCAAAGUCCCAACUCCGAAAAUAACUUGACGCGGUGGCGACAGGCCGGAUUGCGUUCACGGUGGUCCUCGAAGAUGUUGGUAGCCUUGCGCAGCGCGAAGCUCUGGCAGGCGUUCUACACCUGCUCCUAUCCCUGCACGGCGACGCACACCUCCAAUGGGUCAACAGUCUGUCGCGCCGAUCGCUGCCUCUGA
RNAcentral lists this ribosomal RNA (309 nucleotides) under Triticum aestivum (bread wheat). RNAcentral's name for it is "partial small subunit ribosomal RNA". The record is from RNAcentral. Lineage: Eukaryota; Viridiplantae; Streptophyta; Magnoliopsida; Poales; Poaceae.